This 666-nucleotide long non-coding RNA is filed under the name Nicotiana benthamiana. RNAcentral describes it as "long non-coding RNA (NBEN_LNC040924)". The record is from RNAcentral. Lineage: Eukaryota; Viridiplantae; Streptophyta; Magnoliopsida; Solanales; Solanaceae.
UAACCAUUGAUCGUUGCAACGAGAAACUAGGCAUUAACUUGCUCAAGAGCAAUCGAUGGGUGAAACUCAUUAACAUUAGAUGUGAACUUCAUACAGCAUUGUGGCAUGCUGUUCUAAUGCCCUUUACUAAGCUUUGCUACUUAUCCGAUGAAGAUGACAUCGUUUUACAGCGGAUUAGGUCUUUCUUCUUCCAGUUUUAAUAUAUAUAUAUAUAUAUAUAUAUAUAUAUUAGGUGCGGAACUCCUUAUUUGAAAAAAAGAAAAUAAAUAAAUAAUGCUAGUCGUGAAACUCAAUUGCAUGAUAAACUUGUUCAAGAUCCCCGAUGAAGAUGACAUCAUUUUACAGCGGAUUAGGUCUUUCUUCUUCCAGUUUUAAUAAAUAUAUAUGGUAGAAUGUUAGGUGUGGAACUCCUUAUUUGAAAAAAAGAAAAUAAAUAAAUAAUGUUAGGCGUGAAACUCAAUUGCAUGAUACAAACAUGCUCAACAUCGUUAUUUGACAAGCAUGUCAUAGCCCAUGAAUUCAUAACAUGGAGGCUCAUGUCCACAACAUUUAUCAUUUCCAUAUCUACUCUUGGCAGCAAGAUGUUUCGUAACAAUCUUUUCCUGCCAGUAUAAUACCAUGUACCUCUGAAUUUACCUCAAUUAUUUGCAAUUACAUUAUAGGGAU